Molecule: microRNA precursor, 90 nt
Organism: Rhinopithecus bieti (black snub-nosed monkey)
Lineage: Eukaryota; Metazoa; Chordata; Mammalia; Primates; Cercopithecidae
Source: Ensembl
GGCGUGGUGGCGGGCGCCUGUGAUCCCAGCUACUCAGGAGGCUGAGGCAGGAGAAUCACUUGAACUCGGGAGAUGGAGGUUGCAGUGAGC